This is a long non-coding RNA of Gasterosteus aculeatus aculeatus (three-spined stickleback), 2466 nucleotides long. Lineage: Eukaryota; Metazoa; Chordata; Actinopteri; Perciformes; Gasterosteidae. The record is from Ensembl.
CACAAGAUAUUUUUCUCAACGUGUGUUCACUAAAUGCAUUACCGUGCUUUCGCCCUAGGUUUAAAUGGUAUGACUAAUAGACUUUUAAUUCAUGAUAGAACUUUUAUUUAGGUAAAGGUUAAUACUCUAACCCAGGGGUGUCAAACUCAUUUUAGGUAGGGGGCUUUCUGUCAUUUUUACCCUUAGCAAAGUCCUCCAGCAGGCCACACUGGACUUGCCGGCCGCACGUUUGACCCCCCUGCUCUAACCAGAACAGUUCACUUUACAAGUUACUGAAAAUCGAGGGCAACACUGGAAAUGGAACAAAUAGACCUGUCAAACCGAGUAUACGUUCCUCAUUGGUGGAGCCUUGUGUUGUUCAUUCCAGCCUUGAAGCAGACUAACGUGUACGAACAUGACAACUCUACGUACGUCACAAAUUCUUUACACCUAUGGAAGCCAGAAGAACUUGUAUUGAUACGUUUCAACACACGUGUGCCUGCAACCUGCUGUGAAGUCGGAAGCAGUGUUGAUUGUGAGACAUGCCAUGGUUUUGAAUGAGCCUCUCUAAAGUUGCUUCCUCCCUACGGGUUCCAGGACCAAAACAACACAAAGUUUGCAAUGAUCCACUCAGGAAUCAGCAGGAGGGGGGCCACACGCACAGAGGAUGUUUACUUCAUAGUCUGGCAACCGGGAUGCGCUGUCGCUAUACAACACAAUGUGCUGUAUAAGUCCCAACUCCUUUCCUGUAUUUCUAUCUCCAAGUGAGCGUUUGUCUUGAUAGAAGGAUCUCAACAGUGUGAGCACUGUUCAAAAGCGUCUGUAUGAAUGCUGUGAAGAGCCUUUCAAGUGUCAGCAAACCAUGUUCUUCACUUGCUAGGAGGAAUGCAGCCUAUUAUCAAUAGAACUUGGAUAAAAGCUCCUGAAAGGCGCAGCACGGGGGGUACAGGAGGCUGAGGGAAGCAUACGUGACCGCCCUCAAAGCCAGAUCAUCCGGCUCCUCUUGUGCUCGUUGGAGAGACUUCAGCUCCAAUUCAGACGGGGUGCAAUGUUAUUUGUUCCCCCUGUGUGAGGCGCUGACUUCACCAAACAGUGGUCGGCUGGAGCGGUCAUGACCUUUGCCCCGGGUUGUUAGGAACUGCCAGAGCUGCGAGGCAGAAAGCCAGACACCAUGGAUACAGGGCCGCUGGUAUCUGUGCUGGAACUAUUUACUGGGAAUUCGAAAGACUCUUCCACAGGAUGCAAGCGUAAUUCCUUGCCGGGUAACAGUUUGAUGCUAACGAAGAAAUGUGAAAAGGCAGACAGGAUCGAGGCGGAAGACACAUUCCACAUUCCAUUUCUGACAGUGAUCCGAUUUUUUUUUUUUUUAAAGCACAGUGUUGAUGGUGGUGAGGUCCCGUGUCACUGACUCCAUUUCACAAGCAUUCCAAGUGUGGACUGGCCGUCCUCGGAGGAGAGCAAUGAAUCAACUCACCAAAUACACACUUCAGAGCUCUCAACCCGUUCAGUUUCUCUUUCAGGGUCGUCUUCUCAUCACGCCAACACACCAUCAUUAAAUUAUCCGGUGAGAAUUGCGGACGGGAUUCCAAUCCUGCAUGUCCUUUUAUGGCCCAAAAGCAGGGAGUUAUUACACAAACUAAUAAUCACAUCACGAACCACGGAGCAGAGCCACCUGCCCCCCUUCAUCACACAUAAAAUCUCCCUUUAGAUUGGACUUCUGUACUGGAAGAUGACGGAUCGCGUUGUUGUGUUGGACCAUAUGCAAGAAAAAAAAGUCAAGCAAAUUUCAGUUUUAAUGUCACUUAAACAUUCAAGGAUCCAUUGUGACAGUGUGUUUCUGGCACCUGCUAUCUUACAUUCUCGAGUAGACACACAGGCUGCUAAAUUUAUUCAUGUAUGCAGUUCUCUCAGAUUAUCUUCUUAAACAGUCCUUAAACAGUUAAUCCACUGGAAUGCUUUCCCUUUGGCCAUUGAUAUGUAAAAUGUGUGAUUGUUGUGCUUCUAUAAAAAAGCAAACACAAUCACUUUUUUUUUUUCAUAUUCAUUCUUUGCUUUGGGAAUAUGAGCUAUAUUCAGGCUUUUGUAACCUACUUUAAAGCAGUCUUUGCAUUUAGUUUCCCACGGACAAUUUAGUUGAAUUGAUUACAGUAACGAUAAAAUAUUUGAUGGGUAAAUUGUACAGUUGGAUUCAGAAUAUGUUUAUUUACACGUUGUUGUUGUUCCUACGGCAACUUUAUUUAUUGUAUUUUUCAGGGGUGAGAAUGGUUUAAAUGCUUUACACUAAAUGAUAGACACACAGGAUUGAAUGCCUUCCUAUGAUUUCAAAUUGAGGGAAUCCACAACUGUUUUCCAACACACAGAUUGAUUCCGAGUGGCACUCAGAUGCACCCACUCAACCAUCUGAAAUUCCUCUGGAAGUUAUUUAUGACCUAUUCAGCUUAUUUAUACAAUAAAUGACAUAGUUUGGUGUUUAUUGUAAGGGACUGG